UAAGGCACAUAAUUUUCAAAAGAGAGGUCCACAUAGCAAGAAGACAAUGAAGAAUUCGGUGGAGAUAAGAUGCCUUGCUACCUAACAAAGAAAGUGGAAGACACAUGUCCAAGAUAAGAUUCCAAACUCUCCUAUAAAAGGGGACAUGCAGGAAGAAGGAAGAUAUCUCGAAAAAAAUCUAUCUCUAUUCUCUGAGAACACAUUAGAGAAAAUUCUUUUGUAAUCUGAUUACACUACUUGUAUUCAGAAAAAUAUUAGAUAGCUUGAAGAUAGGAAAGCGUGUAAUAAGGUAAUCACUUAUGG
Molecule: long non-coding RNA, 303 nt
Filed under: Olea europaea (common olive)
Lineage: Eukaryota; Viridiplantae; Streptophyta; Magnoliopsida; Lamiales; Oleaceae
Description: long non-coding RNA (OEUR_LNC001182)
Source: RNAcentral